AGUGGGGGAUAACGUAGCGAAAGUUACGCUAAUACCGCAUAUGCCCUGAGGGGGAAAGGAGGGGAUCGUAAGACCUUUCGCUUUCGGAGUGGCCGAUAUCAGAUUAGCUAGUUGGUGGGGUAAAGGCCCACCAAGGCGACGAUUUGUAGCGGGUCUGAGAGGAUGAUCCGCCACACUGGGACUGAGACACGGCCCAGACUCCUACGGGAGGCAGCAGUGGGGAAUUUUGGACAAUGGGGGCAACCCUGAUCCAGCCAUGCCGCGUGAGUGAAGAAGGCCUUCGGGUUGUAAAGCUCUUUCGGACGGAAAGAAAUCCUAUUCGCUAAUACCGGGUGGGGAUGACGGUACCGUAAGAAGAAGCACCGGCUAACUACGUGCCAGCAGCCGCGGUAAUACGUAGGGUGCGAGCGUUAAUCGGAAUUACUGGGCGUAAAGCGUGCGCAGGCGGUUUUGUAAGACAGAUGUGAAAUCCCCGGGCUUAACCUGGGAACUGCAUUUGUGACUGCAAGGCUAGAGUGCGGCAGAGGGGGGUAGAAUUCCA
RNAcentral lists this ribosomal RNA (541 nucleotides) under uncultured Gallionellaceae bacterium. RNAcentral's name for it is "bacterial SSU rRNA". It matches the Rfam family "Bacterial small subunit ribosomal RNA", at positions 135 to 671 of the family's 1533-position model. The record is from RNAcentral. Lineage: Bacteria; Pseudomonadati; Pseudomonadota; Betaproteobacteria; Nitrosomonadales; Gallionellaceae.